RNAcentral lists this ribosomal RNA (392 nucleotides) under Tetraclita squamosa. Its description in RNAcentral is "partial 12S ribosomal RNA". It matches the Rfam family "Microsporidia small subunit ribosomal RNA", at positions 649 to 1215 of the family's 1311-position model. The record is from RNAcentral. Lineage: Eukaryota; Metazoa; Arthropoda; Thecostraca; Balanomorpha; Tetraclitidae.
UUUGGACCAGGAUUAGAUACCCUGUUACUUUUAAUAAAAAAAUUUUGGAGUAGUAUUAUUAAUGAAAUUUAACGGAUUUGGCGGCAAGAUAGCCCCUUAGAGGAACCUGCCCUGUAAACGAUGAGCCACGAGGUACUCUACUUUUUUUGGUAAUCAGUUUGUAUAUCGCUGUUGUCAGUUAGAUUCUUGAGAAUAUUUUCGUUCAUGAUAAGUUCAUUGACUUCAAGUAAAGGUGCAGCUUAUAAAAAAGAUAGAGGUGGGUUACAUUUAUAAGAAUAAAACGGAAAGGAUAGUUGAAAUAGUCCUUGAAGGUGGAUUUAACUGUAAAACUUAAAUAGGUUUGGUGAGAGCUCUAUCUUGUGUACACACCGCCCGUCGCUCUCUUUUCAAAA